RNAcentral lists this ribosomal RNA (543 nucleotides) under uncultured Actinomycetes bacterium. RNAcentral's name for it is "bacterial SSU rRNA". It matches the Rfam family "Bacterial small subunit ribosomal RNA", at positions 337 to 890 of the family's 1533-position model. The record is from RNAcentral. Lineage: Bacteria; Bacillati; Actinomycetota; Actinomycetes.
UUCUACGGGGGGCAGCAGUGGGGAAUAUUGCACAAUGGGCGGAAGCCUGAUGCAGCAACGCCGCGUGCGGGAUGACGGCCUUCGGGUUGUAAACCGCUUUCGCCUGUGACGAAGCGUGAGUGACGGUAAUGGGUAAAGAAGCACCGGCUAACUACGUGCCAGCAGCCGCGGUGAUACGUAGGGUGCGAGCGUUGUCCGGAUUUAUUGGGCGUAAAGGGCUCGUAGGUGGUUGAUCGCGUCGGAAGUGUAAUCUUGGGGCUUAACCCUGAGCGUGCUUUCGAUACGGGUUGACUUGAGGAAGGUAGGGGAGAAUGGAAUUCCUGGUGGAGCGGUGGAAUGCGCAGAUAUCAGGAGGAACACCAGUGGCGAAGGCGGUUCUCUGGGCCUUUCCUGACGCUGAGGAGCGAAAGCGUGGGGAGCGAACAGGCUUAGAUACCCUGGUAGUCCACGCUGUAAACGGUGGGUACUAGGUGUGGGGUCCAUUCCACGGGUUCCGUGCCGUAGCUAACGCUUUAAGUACCCCGCCUGGGGAGUACGGCCGCA